Molecule: ribosomal RNA, 865 nt
Filed under: Pseudophialophora panicorum
Lineage: Eukaryota; Fungi; Ascomycota; Sordariomycetes; Magnaporthales; Magnaporthaceae
Description: eukaryotic LSU rRNA
Rfam family: Eukaryotic large subunit ribosomal RNA
Source: RNAcentral
ACAGGGGAUUGCCCCAGUAACGGCGAGUGAAGCGGCAACAGCUCAAAUUUGAAAUCUGGCCCUAGGCCCGAGUUGUAAUUUGUAGAGGAUGCUUUUGGUGACGCGCCUACCGAGUCCCCUGGAAUGGGGCGCCACAGAGGGUGAGAGCCCCGUAUGGUUUGCCGCCGAGCCUCUGUAAAGCUCCUUCGACGAGUCGAGUAGUUUGGGAAUGCUGCUCUAAAUGGGAGGUAAAUUUCUUCUAAAGCUAAAUACCGGCCAGAGACCGAUAGCGCACAAGUAGAGUGAUCGAAAGAUGAAAAGCACUUUGAAAAGAGGGUUAAAUAGCACGUGAAAUUGUUGAAAGGGAAGCGCUUGUGACCAGACUCGCGCUGGGCGGAUCAUCUAGCGUUCUCGCUGGUGCACUCCGCCCGGCUCGGGCCAGCAUCGGUUUUCGCCGGGGGACAAAAGCCUCGGGAACGUGGCCCCCUUCGGGGGGUGUUAUAGCCCGUGGCAGAAUACCCCGGCGGGGACCGAGGACCGCGCUUCGGCAAGGAUGCUGGCGUAAUGGUCACCAGCGACCCGUCUUGAAACACGGACCGAGGAGUCAAGCAUUAGUGCGAGUGUUUGGGUGUAAAACCCGCACGCGUAAUGAAAGUGAACGUAGGUGAGAGCUUCGGCGCAUCAUCGACCGAUCCUGAAGUUUACGGAUGGAUUUGAGUAGGAGCAUUAACGCUUGGACCCGAAAGAUGGUGAACUAUACUUGAAUAGGGUGAAGCCAGAGGAAACUCUGGUGGAGGCUCGCAGCGGUUCUGACGUGCAAAUCGAUCGUCAAAUUUGAGUAUAGGGGCGAAAGACUAAUCGAACCAUCUAGUAGCUGGUUACCGCC